This is a long non-coding RNA of Phyllostomus discolor (pale spear-nosed bat), 1058 nucleotides long. RefSeq lists it as uncharacterized. Lineage: Eukaryota; Metazoa; Chordata; Mammalia; Chiroptera; Phyllostomidae. The record is from RefSeq and is a predicted model, not a curated record. The transcript has 3 exons.
AAGUGGGACUGCCUAAAGAAGGAGUAGUCCCACUCAUUCACAACAAUUCCCGGCGUGCUCCGUACAGGGCGGAGGCUCCGCCCAGGGCUUGGUCUAUUUGCGGCACUGCGCGAUGAUUGCUGGGAAUUGUAGUAGUGUUUGUGGGAGGGGGAUGAGAAUGAGGUCUCUUGGUGGUAUUUCGGGUGAGGCUUGCAGACUCUCUGAGCGUCUCGUUUGCGCUAAAAAAAAAAAAAAAAAAAUAGAAAAUGUAGAAAACAUGCCGGGAUUUUUCUAUUUGCUCUCUAAUUCUAUCUGUUCCUCUACUGGUAGAGAUAAAUUCUCUAGCGUAUUCCAAUCUUACCUGCCCUGCUUCCUGAAUUUUCUCUAGUGAUACAAAAGCUGAUGAGGAAACACACCUUGUUUGAGAAGCAAACGUGUCGUUGGGGACAUCUGACAAAACAUUCGUAUCAACCUAGAAAUAAAAGUCAAAAUCUACAGCGUUCAGUUGUAGUCUAUUCUGAGUUCUGGUUAGUGAAAGACCCAAACCAAAACAGUUGCCAGGUUCACAUAUUCCAAAUUAAUUCCAUCUGCAUCACUUACAGUAGCAUGUAGUCAAACUCAAACUAAGUCAAAUGAGAAAAAUGUCAAAUGAGAAAAAUCGCAGCAGCGAAGUUGCUGACAAGUCUUUAACCAAUUGCCAAGAUUCUCGGACACAGGAACAUUAAAUGAAAUAAAGGAAUGUGCUGUAGAUAAACCUUUAUAGUACUAUCUGAAUUUAAAUCCCUAGAAGCGGCACGAAACAAAGCACAAGUUGGUGCUGCUGCCAUUGAGGAGCAGCCCGCUUUGUCCAGAAAAUAGAUGAGACAAAUGAAACAGUAACCUAGGCGUGGACACAAAGUCCAGGAUUUCAUAUGCAAUCCAGGUGUUAGAACCCAUCUGGGAAUAGCUAGCCUAGCAUCCACAGAAGAUUGUGCUUGCUAUACAAGACUGAUGAAUGUAUCUUCAGCCAUGAAAAACCUCAGAGGACAAGAGUGCUUAAAUAACGUGAAAAGCAUAUUCCAAAUUUACUUUUACUUUGA